ACCUGGGUGGCUCAGUCGGUUAAGCGUCUGACUUCGGCUCAGGUCAUGAUCUCACGGUUUGUGGGUUCAAGCCCCGCAUCAGGCU
RNAcentral lists this transfer RNA (85 nucleotides) under Felis catus (domestic cat). It matches the Rfam family "tRNA". Rfam says of the family: Transfer RNA (tRNA) molecules are approximately 80 nucleotides in length. Their secondary structure includes four short double-helical elements and three loops (D, anti-codon, and T loops). Lineage: Eukaryota; Metazoa; Chordata; Mammalia; Carnivora; Felidae. The record is from Rfam by way of RNAcentral.